UUUACAGUCCCACCAACAGUGUAAAAGUGUUCCUAUUUCUCCACAUCCUCUCCAGCACCUGUUGUUUCCUGACUUUUUAAUGAUUGCCAUUCUAACUGGUUUGAGAUGGUAUCUCAUUGUGGUUUUGAUUUGCAUUUCUCUGAUAGCCAGUGAUGGUAAGCAUUUCUUCAUGUGUUUUUUGGCUGCCUAUGACAAACCCACAGCCAAUAUCAUACUGAAUGGGCAAAAACUGGAAGCAUUCCCUUUGAAAACUGGCACAAGACAGGGAUGCCCUCUCUCACCAC
Molecule: long non-coding RNA, 284 nt
Filed under: Homo sapiens (human)
Lineage: Eukaryota; Metazoa; Chordata; Mammalia; Primates; Hominidae
Description: HSALNT0289767
Source: RNAcentral